AGAGAGAGAGAGAGAGAGAGACGAAACAAUUUGAGCAGCUAAAUAGCACUGUACAUAAAUUACAGCACAGGAAGUUUCUCCAGCUUUCCUUUUUCCCCCCACAGAUGUUGGAUCCUUAUGGAACCAACGGCAUUUGAUUAUUCCCACAGAGAAUAGUUUGUUUAUUGGAAAAUGUCAAUCCAUUUCAACCGGAGCGCUUAGAUAACCUGUCCACAAAAGCUGUGACCAAAACCAACCCCAUCCAAUUAUAUGUAGCAAAAGAAUGCUCUGAAGUAAAACCAAACCUACUUAAUGAUCGCAUGCACGAGGCAAUAGAUUGAAUAGCCUCUCACCGGUGAACUUUUUGUGAUCCAUGUCCAAACACCAUUAGCAACGGAGCAAUUAAAUAACGAUCAGAGUGGCUUAACUUGCCACUUUCAGGAAUUUGUGUUCUUCUUUUCUUCAAGAACAGAACCUUCCUUGAGUGCAAUUUGUGCCUCAUUUUCCCUUCCAAGUGCAAAGAGAGAAGCAGCUUGUAAAUACGAAGCAACAUGCCAUACAGGAGAUAUUACUUGUGCCUGUACUGCAUCAUUGAGGGCUUCCAGUGGCAUAUCAUUCAUGAGAUAAGACAGACUACGCCGUGCAUACACAGUUGGGGAGACCAUAGUUCCAACAUCGAUAAACAGUGUAUAGCAUUCGAUGGCGGCCUUAGCAUCUUUGUGCCUGAAAGCAGAAUCACCCUUUUUCU
RNAcentral lists this unclassified non-coding RNA (727 nucleotides) under Hevea brasiliensis (rubber tree). The record is from RNAcentral. Lineage: Eukaryota; Viridiplantae; Streptophyta; Magnoliopsida; Malpighiales; Euphorbiaceae.